GAGCUGCAGGUUGCUCUGCUGGGAGGUCUGGGAGGUCUGGGAGGAGAGCCGAAGGGCCUGAUAAAGGAGACAUACCUCCAGACACACAUUAGCAGCCACAGGUCAGCUAGCCAGGUGGUCUGCUCCACCUCGUCCACUGAGCUGGAGGCAGCCUGAGGGUGAAGCCGUGCACGGAGGAAGCACGGCAGCAGAUGGUGGAGUAAUUAAUGCAGCUAUUUUAAUAGCCCCAUGAAGUUCAUGUCAGGAUGGUACCAGCUGUAAAAUGACUCCAAUAUUUCUAUAAAACAUUUCUUUCUGCUGAAGUCAUUCAUCUGACUUGUCUCCGCCAAGGAAUGGUGGAGUUUUGUGACCAUCGGCGUUGGUCUGUCUGUCUGUCUGUCUGUCUGUUACCAACAUUACUAUAAAACAGACCAACGGAUUUGGAUGAAAUUUUCAGUGAAGGUCAGCCUCCCGGGACUCCUACUCUGGACUGACUCAUGCUGGAUGAAGGUUUGGCGUCAUGGUGGGAGGAAGUGAA
Molecule: long non-coding RNA, 517 nt
Organism: Amphiprion ocellaris (clown anemonefish)
Lineage: Eukaryota; Metazoa; Chordata; Actinopteri; Pomacentridae
Source: Ensembl